RNAcentral lists this long non-coding RNA (4653 nucleotides) under Salmo salar (Atlantic salmon). RNAcentral describes it as "lncRNA (ENSSSAG00000106208.1)". Lineage: Eukaryota; Metazoa; Chordata; Actinopteri; Salmoniformes; Salmonidae. The record is from RNAcentral.
CUCUGUGACCCUCCCUAACGUCACCUCUGUGACCUCCCUAACGUCACCUCUGUGACUAUGUCUGCGUCCCAAAUGGAACAUUUUCCUCUAUAAAGGCCACAACUUUUGACCAGAGCCUUAUGGGUAAAUGCCAUUUGGGACGAUUCUCUUGUAUGUGUGCUUGUGACUGAUGGAUUGACUAGCAGAGACUGAGUCUGAGUACCACUGUCAGAUAAGUAUGUGUCAGAUAGUUACUGUGUUGAAUAGUGUAAUGUUCUGGUUACAUGUGUAACAUACAGGGUAUGUAGUGUCAGGUACUUGAUCAGAUGCUUAGCUAAGAAAGUGUGUGGGAUGCUACUGCCUCCACGUUGUUGUUGUUGUUGUUGAUGUUGUUGUUUUUAACCAAGUCGAACUGUUGCCAUGAUAUGCUAUUACUUGGUUACGCACCGGAAUCUGGCGUUUCUAUUGAAUUAUGCUCUUUUUCUAGAAAGGACCAUGACUGUUACCCUAGCAACCCAUCGAUGCUAUUUAGAGGGCGUUACAUGUAAUGAAAGAUUGAACGGUGUUGAGAAUAUGUUCAAAUUGAAGCAAUACAUCCUAGUAUUGUUGUUCUAUCAGCCAUAUUACCCUGCACUGUGACACCAGCUAGCCGAGGCAGCUCUGGAGGCUGUCCCCUGACCCCUGUCUCCUCCACUCUCCUGGAGGCUGACCCCUGACCCCUGUCUCCACUCUUCUGGAGGCUUACCCCUGUCUCCUGCACUCUCUUGGAGGCUGACCCCUGUCUCCUCCACUCUCCUGGAGGCUUACCCCUGUCUCCUCCACUCUCCUGGAGGCUGACCCCUGUCUCCUCCACUCUCCUGGAGGCUGACCCCUGUCUCCUCCACUCUCCUGGAGGCUGACCCCUGUCUCCUCCACUCUCCUGGAGGCUGACCCCUGAACCCUGUCUCCUCCACUCUUCUGAAGGCUUACCCCUGUCUCCUGCACUCUCCUGGAGGCUGACCCCUGACCUCUCCACUCUCCUGGAGGCUGACCCCUGUUUCCUCCAAUCUCCUUUAGGCUGACCCCUGUCUCCUCCACUCUCCUGGAGGCUGACCCCUGACCCCUCCACUCUCCUGGAUGGCUAACUCCUGACCCCCGUCUCCUCCACUCUCCUGGAGGCUGACUCCUGACCCCUGUCUCCUCCACUCUCCUGGAGGCUGACUCCUGACCCCUGUCUCCUCCACUCUCCUGGAGGCUGACUCCUGACCCCUGUCUCCUCCACUCUCCUGGAGGCUGAGCCCUGUCUCCUCCAAUCUCCUGGAGGCUGACCCCUGUCUCCUCCACUCUCCUGGAGGCUGACCCCUGUCUCCUCCAAUCUCCUGGAGGCUGACCCCUGUCUCCUCCACUCUCCUGGAGGCUGACCCCUCUCUCCUCCACUCUCCUGGAGGCUGACCCCUGACCCCUCCACUCUCCAGGACCAAGUAAAGCUUUAAGAGACAUCUCCUUUAGUGUAGUUCUAGUGUUGCUGCAGCCAGGCUUCCAGAAUUAGCGGCACAUUCCAAAUGACCUGAACAUUCCAGAUAUGAGCCUGGCGUUGUCCUCUGUCUGCCUCAAUAUCCCAGGUGGGGUUGUCAUACUGUAGGCGACAUAUAGAGAGAGAUAUGAGGUGAGAGAGUUGAUUGAUUCCAUGCUUUUGUAGUCUGAUUGUCAGUCUGUGUUUGACAGUUAAAGAACGAUUGGCUGAGUUUCUAUCCCUUUAUAAUGAAAAGGUCUUACUACCAUCUCUAACGAGGCUCAGCAGUUUUAGCCGAAUGCUUUCCAAAACAUCACAACGUGCCUGAACUUCUCUGUCUUUUUUUUUAUUACUAAAUGGAAUGUCAAUUGUUUCAAAUACCUUUUAAUCAUCAUGAACUUUUCCAUUGAGCUAACAAGCCUUUAUAAGUCAUUGUUUCCCCCAGUCUCAGUGAGUGUAGCGCUGAUGGACACUGUGUCUGCUGUUGGUGUGUUUUCAUGCCAUUUAGCAGAGGCUUUUAUUCAAACCACGAAGUGAUGUAUGCAUUCUUUAUGUGUGGAUGGUCACGGGAGUCAAACCCACUAUCCUGUUGUUGCAAGUGUCAUGCUCUACCAACUGACCUACAGAGGACCAGUGUAUUGUUAGGGAGUUUAGUCUGUAAGGGCAAAACCAGCUGGCUGACUGACCAGGGAGGAAUAAGAUGACCUUCUGUCUAACCUCUGACCUCUCCAACCCAGCUCUCCCACAGACAGGCUGACGUGUGUGUGUGUGUGUGUGUGUGUGUGUGUGUGUGUGUGUGUGUGUGUGUGUGUGUGUGUGUGUGUGUGUGUGUGUGUGUGUGUGUGUGUGUGUGUGUGUGUUCUCCAUCAACACAUCUUCCAACAGCCCUAACCAGUAGGAAAGCUCAAUAUUCACUUUAGUUUUGACCACAACUCUGUCACGCUUGCUCAAGUCACCCCUUAGUUAGCACUGAUCUAGGAUCAGCUUACACUCCCCAUAUCCAAACCUAAACCAUUAGUGGAGGGGGACUCUAAACAGACCGUAGCUCAGUGUCUGGGAGAAACUCCACUUUUCCCUGAACAUGUUGAUACUUUAGCAGGACUAGUAGUAACUAUGACUACAUCCUUUAGUAGCAGUGAGCCAAGCAGCUCUACAGCCAGGUGAGUUAGAGAGACAUCAUGUAGCUGUCUAUGCACUUUGACCUCUGGGAUAUCCAGAGGGUAGAAUAGCCAUAUUGAGGUCUCAGUGAUGCCCGGUUCAAUACACCAGCGAGACUCUGUGUGACUGACUGUUUCUCUGUAGAGAGACUGACUGCAUGGCAGUGACUGUUUCUCUGUAGAGACUGACUGCAUGGCAGCGACUGUUUCUCUGUAGAGAGACUGACUGCAUGGCAGUGACUGUUUCUCUGUAGAGACUGACUGCAUGGCAGUGACUGUUUCUCUGUAGAGACUGACUGCAUGGCAGUGACUGUUUCUCUGUAGAGACUGACUGCAUGGCAGUGACUGUUUCUCUGUAGAGACUGACUGCAUGGCAGUGACUGUUUCUCUGUAGAGACUGACUGCAUGGCAGUGACUGUUUCUCUGUAGAGACUGACUGCAUGGCAGUGACUGUUUCUCUGUAGAGAGUGACUGCAUGGCAGUGACUGUUUCUCUGUAGAGACUGACUGCAUGGCAGUGACUGUUUCCCUGUAGAGACUGACUGCAUGGCAGUGACUGUGCCUAAUGGUGGGGCUCCACAGGGUGCUCCUUAAAAAGCUUUAAACAUGUACCUUUCAGAUGUCUGUUACUACAACAUUGUUCAGCUCCAGUUUGGCUCACUGUGAAAGGUAGCUAACUAAAUGAAUAAGGUCAACUUGAAACAUGCAUUCGCUUUUUCUCCAGUGUGUUGCACAAAGGUUUUGUAGAAAGGCUCGGACAGUGGGUUUGAGAGGUGUGAUAAUAACUGAUCUUAUGAAAGGUUGAACAUGUAUUAAGGCCUUCCUGUAUUACAAAAAAGUGAAACACCUACAAAGCGCCUUAUUUCAUCAACUUUGUAUUUUCUUUUGAAUCUCUAAACGUUGUGGCUUAUUACUUUCACCAACUACUUGAGUAUUUAACUGUUCUGAAAUAAAACAUGUUGCAUCAUGGGGAAUAUAUGGCAUUGACCUCAACAUAUUCAACUGGAAUUGUUGUUUGAUGUUUUGUUGGAAUGACAGCUAAUAGUCUGGUGUUUCUAACAGUGGACAGACACAGGUCAAGCAUAAGGAAGACAGGUUAGUCUGACUGUACAGGCAGACAUAAGAGACAGGUUAGUCUGACUGUACAGGCAGACAUAAGAGACAGGUUAGUCUAACUGUACAGGCAGACAUAAGAGACAGGUUAGUCUGACUGUACAGGCAGACAUAAGAGACAGGUUAGUCUAACUGUACAGGCAGACAUAAGCGACAGGUUAGUCUAACUGUACAGGCAGACAUAAGCGACAGGUUAGUCUAACUGUACAGGCAGACAUAAGAGACAGGUUAGUCUAACUGUACAGGCAGACAUAAGAGACAGGUUAGUCUAACUGUACAGGCAGACAUAAGAGACAGGUUAGUCUAACUGUACAGGCAGACAUAAGAGACAUGUUAGUCUAACUGUACAGGCAGACAUAAGAGACAGGUUAGUCUAACUGUACAGGCAGACAUAAGAGACAGGUUAGUCUAACUGUACAGGCAGACAUAAGAGACAGGUUAGUCUAACUGUACAGGCAGACAUAAGAGACAUGUUAGUCUAACUGUACAGGCAGACAUAAGAGACAGGUUUGUGAGUUCAGGAUGAGUGUCUGUGGGUUUCUGGGAGAGAGGUGGAGGACAAUGCCUGCACAUUAAUACAAGUAUAAAUGUAUCAUUUUAAAUAUAAAACUAUAAAUAUUGUAUAGAAUGUCAUUCAUUUUUAUAAUCUUGACUGUACAUGUAAUGCAACCACCUUUCUUUUUGAAAGGAGUCUUUGAUGUUUUGUACAUGUAUGUAAAUGAUGUUUGCUUAGCAGUUGUUUGCAGCCUUCUCAAUGUAUGUUCGUCAAGGUUCAUUUCCGCGCUUCGAUACGUGUCCACGGUUUAUUAUACGUCAUGGAUUGAUGAAUUCAUAAUUGCCUGCAUAACUUUGUACAUGUUUGUGUCUCUCAUCACAGCAUAUUGUAUGGUCUGCGUUUUGUUUAGCAGUUGUA